AGAGUUUGAUCCUGGCUCAGAACGAACGCUGGCGGCGUGGAUAAGACAUGCAAGUCGAGCGAGAUUUUUUUCUGUAGCAAUACAGGGAAAAGUCUAGCGGCGAGCGGGUGCGUAACACGUGGGCAACCUGCCAAGAAGUGGGGGAUAGCUCGCCGAAAGGCGAAUUAAUACCGCAUGUGAUUAGAGUGGACAUCCAUUCAAAAUCAAAGUCGGGGCAACCUGACGCUUCUUGAGGGGCCCGCGGCCUAUCAGCUAGUUGGUGAGGUAACGGCCCACCAAGGCUUAGACGGGUAGCUGGUCUGAGAGGACGACCAGCCACACUGGGACUGAGACACGGCCCAGACACCUACGGGUGGCAGCAGUCGAGAAUUUUUCUCAAUGGGGGAAACCCUGAAGGAGCGACGCCGCGUGGAGGAUGAAGGUCUUCGGGUUGUAAACUAGCUGUCAUUUGGGAACAAUGCGCAAAUAUUAACUGUAUUGCGUUGAUAGACCAGAAGAGAAAGACCGA
RNAcentral lists this ribosomal RNA (508 nucleotides) under uncultured soil bacterium. RNAcentral describes it as "bacterial SSU rRNA". It matches the Rfam family "Bacterial small subunit ribosomal RNA", at positions 8 to 495 of the family's 1533-position model. The record is from RNAcentral.